Molecule: ribosomal RNA, 723 nt
Filed under: Nematoda environmental sample
Lineage: Eukaryota; Metazoa; Nematoda
Description: SSU rRNA
Rfam family: Eukaryotic small subunit ribosomal RNA
Source: RNAcentral
CUGUGGCAAUUCUAGAGCUAAUACAUGCAAUACCCCUCUGCCCGCAAGGAACGAGCGCAUUUAUUAGAAUAAAAACCAAUCGGGUUUCGGCCCGUAAUUUGGUGAAUCUGAAUAACUUUGCCAAUCGCACAGUCCUAGUACUGGCGAUGUAUCUUUCAAGUGUCUGCCUUAUCAACUUUCGAUGGUACGCUAUACGCCUACCAUGGUAGUAACGGGUAACGGAGAAUAAGGGUUCGACUCCGGAGAGGGAGCCUGAGAAACGGCUACCACAUCCAAGGAAGGCAGCAGGCGCGCAAAUUACCCACUUCCAGAACGGAGAGGUAGUGACGAAAAAUAACGAGACAGUCCUCUUCGAGGUCUGUCAUCGGAAUGGGUACAAUUUAAAUCCUUUAACGAGGAUCUAUUGGAGGGCAAGUCUGGUGCCAGCAGCCGCGGUAAUUCCAGCUCCAAUAGCGUAUAUUAAAGUUGUUGCGGUUAAAACGCUCGUAGUUGGAUUUGCGGCCUCGAAGGAUGGUCCCCCGAAAGGGCGGUCACUGUCUCUUCUAGCCUAAAUUCGAGUCGUCUCUAGGUGCUCUUUACUGAGUGCUUAGAGUGACUAGAACGUUUACUUUGAAAAAAUUAGAGUGCUUAAAGCAGACGACAUAGUCUGAAUAAGGUGCAUGGAAUAAUGGAAUAGGACCUCGGUUCUAUUUUGUUGGUUUUCGGAGCCCGAGGUAAUGAUUA